This is a non-coding RNA of Marmota flaviventris (yellow-bellied marmot), 1379 nucleotides long. Lineage: Eukaryota; Metazoa; Chordata; Mammalia; Rodentia; Sciuridae. The record is from RefSeq and is a predicted model, not a curated record.
CCGCUGUGACGUCCCGGAAGAACUGGUUGGAGGUACCAAGGCCCGCGACAGCCAGGACGGGUGCGCUGGCUGCCAGCGCCCCUGCCACCAGACCACAGGUGUUAAAAGAAGGAACUGAAACUUCCGUGACCACCAGUUCUGACCCUGGCCUCAGUCAGGCACAGCCUUCGCUGGGAAAAGGUCCCUGGUGGACAUCCCUCUCCUCGGCCCAGCCUGGGGACUGGCUCAGGACCAGUGGGAGGGCUUCCUGGAGCAGGCAGCACAAGUUUCUGCCGCAGGGUCUGGAUCAGCACGGCAUAGUCGGCCAGCGCCUGCUCCACGGUCAGCAGCUCGGUGUACCCGGGCUGCAUGGACUUCUCCCCAAACGGGAGCGACUUCCCGUAGUAGCGCUGUGGUGAGGAAGGAAGGCUGACCUGGCUGCCCCCUGUGCCCAGCCGCCGUCUGGGGACCCCUGGAGCUGGCCGGGCAGCAGCCAGGGUCCCCAGAGCCUGUGAGGGUGGGCAAGGCCGAUGGUUCCUGUGGAGGUGAGGCUUCUGAGUGACCCCUUGGCACACGUGGCAAGGCCUCUUCCAGAAGAUGGCCCUGGACCCAGUGCCUAUCUUGCCCUCGGGGCAUAGCUUCUACAGUGGCUCGCCCCCAGCUCCAGGUCACCCCAUGUCAUGUUCUCUACUACUUUCAGCCUGUAGGGCACAGUGGUCACUCGGGGCAGAGCAACCAAGAGCAGGUGGGCCUAGGCACCUGCUGCAGACUUGGAGCUCUGAGGGCCCCUCUCCUUACAUCCCCAGGCUGGCCAGGUGUGUGCAUCUGCUGCAGAUCUGCAGGACAGAGGGAGAGGGGUACCAGGUCAGACAGAGAUCCUGGGACCGUGCCAGUCCCUGACCACUAUCCACUCUGCCUGCUCAGACCUCAGAGCUGCUGGCACUGGGGGGACACUGUUCCCAAAUCAGUCCAGAGCUCCACUCCACGCCUGCUGCACCUGCCUUAGGGCCCUGCUGGUCUCUGUAGUAAACCCAUAAGGAUGUACUCUUAGUGAUGGUGAAGCUGGGAUUCAGUGUGAUGCAUGGUCACUGUUAUCUAUUUCACAAGCUACUUCAGCACCCCAACAGAACAACCUCCUUAUACAUUAGUGUCCAGCCCCCUCCAAGCCUGGCAGCAUCCUCUGCUCUCCCUGGGAGCUGAGUCCAGAUGUGUCACUGGGUAGACUCAGCAGUGCCCAGAGGUGACUACACCCCUGCUGUGUAAGUCCCUGCUUUUCCUGGCUGAUCCACUGUAGAUGUCACCACAUUGUGUGUGUCCAUUCACCUGUCAACAGACCCUUGAGUUGCUCCACAUCUUUGCUUUUGUGAAUAAACUGCAAUAAAUACAGGUGUACAAUACUA